Long non-coding RNA from Hippocampus comes (tiger tail seahorse), 280 nucleotides. RefSeq lists it as uncharacterized. The record is from RefSeq and is a predicted model, not a curated record. Lineage: Eukaryota; Metazoa; Chordata; Actinopteri; Syngnathiformes; Syngnathidae. The transcript has 3 exons.
AAAAUAUGAGACGCAUGAUGCGUGGGUCCUUUUGUUCGAGAGGCCACAUCCUUGACUUGCUUCAAGUGCUGCCAACCCACUCUUUACCACAACAUUCACUCAAGUCUUAAGAUUCAUCAAAAUGAGAUUGUGGGCAACAAGUGCCGCAACCAAGUGGAGACUGUGGAGUGUAAUACUGCAGCAUCAGGAGCCAAAGCAAAGCCACACAAUGUCCUUCAAGGUGAGCUGUCCUUGCAUCAUGCUCUUGAAAACACAAUGAAGACGCUGGCCCACAGCAUCU